GCCCAGGUGGUGAAAUCGGUAGACACAAGGGAUUUAAAAUCCCUCGCCCGAAAGGGUGUGCGGGUUCAAGUCCCGCCCUGGGCACCA
This 87-nucleotide transfer RNA is filed under the name Thorsellia anophelis DSM 18579. RNAcentral describes it as "tRNA_Leu_TAA". It matches the Rfam family "tRNA". Rfam says of the family: Transfer RNA (tRNA) molecules are approximately 80 nucleotides in length. Their secondary structure includes four short double-helical elements and three loops (D, anti-codon, and T loops). Further hydrogen bonds mediate the characteristic L-shaped molecular structure. tRNAs have two regions of fundamental functional importance: the anti-codon, which is responsible for specific mRNA codon recognition, and the 3' end, to which the tRNAs corresponding amino acid is attached (by aminoacyl-tRNA synthetases). tRNAs cope with the degeneracy of the genetic code in two manners: having more than one tRNA (with a specific anti-codon) for a particular amino acid; and 'wobble' base-pairing, i.e. permitting non-standard base-pairing at the 3rd anti-codon position. The record is from RNAcentral. Lineage: Bacteria; Pseudomonadati; Pseudomonadota; Gammaproteobacteria; Enterobacterales; Thorselliaceae.